Molecule: ribosomal RNA, 240 nt
Filed under: uncultured bacterium
Lineage: Bacteria
Description: partial 16S ribosomal RNA
Rfam family: Bacterial small subunit ribosomal RNA
Source: RNAcentral
UACGUAGGGGGCAAGCGUUAUCCGGAUUUACUGGGUGUAAAGGGAGCGUAGACGGCUGAGGAAGUCUGGAGUGAAAGGCCGGGGCCCAACCCCGGGACUGCUCUGGAAACUCCACGGCUUGAGUGCAGGAGAGGUAAGUGGAAUUCCUAGUGUAGCGGUGAAAUGCGUAGAUAUUAGGAGGAACACCAGUGGCGAAGGCGGCUUACUGGACUGUAACUGACGUUGAGGCUCGAAAGCGUG